UGCUUGUAUCUCAGCGAGCAAAUCAAGAAAUGCGGACCAUUGGCCACUCAUAAGCCAAUCAGACAUCCUCGGCAGUAUUUCCCCAUCACCACAGUGACGAUAGUAGAUGUGGUUAGUCAGCCCAGGAGAACACCCUGCUAACAACCCCGCAAGAUGCCACACUGAUAGCAUCGAGAGCUGAGUUAGAGUCAGGAUCCGUCAAAAGGAGAAGCCCUUCCGUGCCGGUGGCAGGGAACAGAGAAGAAAACUAUCUGCCUGAUACAAGGACGUUGGAAGUCCCUGUUCCUGAACUUAUUUAAGGAAAAGCGCCUUUGUUCAAAUGAAGCCAUGGGGCUUCUUGAAGUAGCUGUGCACCCAUCUACCUGGAAAUUCGGGAGAGUGGGGACGUCUCCUCAGAUGCCCCUGGGAAUAUAUGCAGGCUUUGUCAGAUCAUGCUGCAUUAUUGCUUUUUCUGCAUUCUUAUAUUUUUAUGAAUGAUUCUAAUUCCCUGAUCUGGAAUAUUAAGGGAUUCACUCUCCCUUAAUACACACCUCUAUUUUCCCUGUUUUGUUUCCAAUAAAGCAAUGACU
Ahaetulla prasina is the source of this 569-nucleotide long non-coding RNA. RefSeq lists it as uncharacterized. The record is from RefSeq and is a predicted model, not a curated record. NCBI's taxonomy places the organism in Eukaryota, Metazoa, Chordata, Lepidosauria, Squamata, Colubridae. The transcript has 3 exons.